This 431-nucleotide ribosomal RNA is filed under the name Saccharomycetales sp. RNAcentral's name for it is "SSU rRNA". It matches the Rfam family "Eukaryotic small subunit ribosomal RNA", at positions 1341 to 1791 of the family's 1831-position model. Lineage: Eukaryota; Fungi; Ascomycota; Saccharomycetes; Saccharomycetales. The record is from RNAcentral.
CCUUAACCUACUAAAUAGUGCUGCUAGCUUUUGCUGGUAUAGUCACUUCUUAGAGGGACUAUCGAUUUCAAGUCGAUGGAAGUUUGAGGCAAUAACAGGUCUGUGAUGCCCUUAGACGUUCUGGGCCGCACGCGCGCUACACUGACGGAGCCAGCGAGUUCUAACCUUGGCCGAGAGGUCUGGGUAAUCUUGUGAAACUCCGUCGUGCUGGGGAUAGAGCAUUGUAAUUAUUGCUCUUCAACGAGGAAUUCCUAGUAAGCGCAAGUCAUCAGCUUGCGUUGAUUACGUCCCUGCCCUUUGUACACACCGCCCGUCACUACUACCGAUUGAAUGGCUUAGUGAGGCUUCCGGAUUGGUUUAAAGAAGGGGGCAACCUCAUCUUGGAACUGAAAAGCUAGUCAAACUUGGUCAUUUAGAGGAAGUACAAGUCG